This 497-nucleotide ribosomal RNA is filed under the name uncultured bacterium. Its description in RNAcentral is "partial 16S ribosomal RNA". It matches the Rfam family "Bacterial small subunit ribosomal RNA", at positions 28 to 507 of the family's 1533-position model. The record is from RNAcentral.
GACGAACGCUGGCGGCGUGCCUAAUACAUGCAAGUUGAGCGCUGAAGGUUGGUACUUGUACCAACUGGAUGAGCAGCGAACGGGUGAGUAACGCGUGGGGAAUCUGCCUUUGAGCGGGGGACAACAUUUGGAAACGAAUGCUAAUACCGCAUAAAAACUUUAAACACAAGUUUUAAGGUUGAAAGAUGCAAUUGCAGCACUCAAAGAUGAUCCCGCGUUGUAUUAGCUAGUUGGUGAGGUAAAGGCUCACCAAGGCGAUGAUACAUAGCCGACCUGAGAAGGUGAUCCGCCACAUUGGGACUGAGACACGGCCCAAACUCCUACGGGAGGCAGCAGUAGGGAAUCUUCGGCCAUGGACGGAAGGCUGACCGAGCAACGCCGCGUGAGGGAAGAAGGGUUUCGGAUCGGAAAACCCUGUUGGUAGAGAAGAAAGUUGGUGAGAGUGGAAAGCUCAUCAAGUGACGGUAACUACACAGAAAGGGACGGCUAACUACGUG